GAUGAACGCUGGCGGCGUGCCUAAUACAUGCAAGUCGAGCGAACAGACGAGGCUCUUGCUCCUCUGACGUUAGCGGCGGACGGGAGAGUAACACGUGGAUACCCUACCUAUAAGACUGGGAUAACUUCGGGAAACCGGAGCUAACACCGGAUGAUCUAUUGAACCGCAUGGUUCAAUAGUGAAAGACGGUUUUGCUGUCACUUAUAGAUGGAUCCGCGCCGCAUUAGCUAGUUGGUAAGGUAACGGCUUACCAAGGCAACGAUGCGUAGCCGACCUGAGAGGGUGAUCGGCCACACUGGAACGGAGACACGGUCAAGACGCCUACGGGAGGCAGCAGUAGGGAAUCGGCCGCAAUGGGCGAAAGCCUGACGGAGCAACGCCGCGUGAGUGAUGAAGGUCUUCGGAUCGUAAAACUCUGUUAUUAGGGAAGAACAAAUGUGUAAGUAACUAUGCACGUCUUGACGGUACCUAAUCAGAAAGCCACGGCUAACUACGUG
Molecule: ribosomal RNA, 497 nt
Filed under: uncultured bacterium
Lineage: Bacteria
Description: partial 16S ribosomal RNA
Rfam family: Bacterial small subunit ribosomal RNA
Source: RNAcentral